AGAGCGAACGCUGGCGGCAGGCCUAACACAUGCAAGUCGAGCGCCCCGCAAGGGGAGCGGCAGACGGGAGAGUAACACGUGGGAACGUACCCUUUGGUUCGGAACAACACAGGGAAACUUGUGCUAAUACCGGAUAAGCCCUUACGGGGAAAGAUUUAUCGCCAAAGGAUCGGCCCGCGUCUGAUUAGCUUGUUGGUGAGGUAACGGCUCACCAAAGCUACGAUCAGUAGCUGGUCUGAGAGGAUGAUCAGCCUCACUGGGACUGAGACACGGCCCAGACUCCUACGGGAGGCAGCAGUGGGGAAUAUUGGACAAUGGGCGCAAGCCUGAUCCAGCCAUGCCGCGUGGAUGAUGAAGGCCCUAGGGUUGUAAAGUCCUUUCGACGGGGAAGAUAAUGACGGUACCCGUAGAAGAAGCCCCGGCUAACUUCGUGCCAGCAGCCGC
RNAcentral lists this ribosomal RNA (444 nucleotides) under uncultured bacterium. Its description in RNAcentral is "SSU rRNA". It matches the Rfam family "Bacterial small subunit ribosomal RNA", at positions 26 to 518 of the family's 1533-position model. The record is from RNAcentral.